AUUGAACGCUGGCGGCAUGCUUUACACAUGCAGGUCGAACGGUAACAGGGUGCUUGCACCGCUGACGAGUGGCGAACGGGUGAGUAAUGCGUCGGAACGUGCCGAGUAGUGGGGGAUAACGCAGCGAAAGUUGUGCUAAUACCGCAUACGUACUGAGGUAGAAAGGGGGGGACAUUCGGGCCUCACGCUAUUCGACCGGUCGACGUCUGAUUAGCUAGUAGGUGAGGUAAAGGCUCACCUAGGCGACGAUCAGUAGCGGGUCUGAGAGGGUGAUCCGCCACACUGGGACUGAGACACGGCCCAGACUCCUACGGGAGGCAGCAGUGGGGAAUUUUGGACAAUGGGCGAAAGCCUGAUCCAGCCAUGCCGCGUGUCUGAAGAAGGCCUUCGGGUUGUAAAGGACUUUUGUCAGGGAGGAAAUCCCUAGUGCUAAUAACACUGGGGGAUGACAGUACCUGAAGAAUAAGCACCGGCUAACUACGUGCCAGCAGCCGCAGUAA
This 500-nucleotide ribosomal RNA is filed under the name uncultured bacterium. Its description in RNAcentral is "partial 16S ribosomal RNA". It matches the Rfam family "Bacterial small subunit ribosomal RNA", at positions 30 to 523 of the family's 1533-position model. The record is from RNAcentral.